GUUGGUUGAAAAUCACCCCCGGCUUUGGCCGUGGCUGCGGGUGAGAUUCGGCGCCCAGAGCCUCCGGGGGCCUCAGCUCACCGCGCGCUGCCCCAUGUGCGGCGGUGAAACCCAGGCCCCGACAGGC
Molecule: small nucleolar RNA, 127 nt
Organism: Nomascus leucogenys (northern white-cheeked gibbon)
Lineage: Eukaryota; Metazoa; Chordata; Mammalia; Primates; Hylobatidae
Source: Ensembl